AUGUCUGAUCAGAGUGACAGCCAGAACAGGUCAGAAGAGCACAUGGACUUGAGUGAGGGCACUAGUCCCUUAACUUCAGAUGAUGGGAGUAGAAGUACUCCUAGCAACUUGCCUAAGGCUGCUACUAGGCAAAUGAGGAAAAGAACUUCAGAUUCUGAGGAUGAAGAUUACAAAGCUGAGGAAGAUGAGGCCACUUCCAAGAAAGUGGUGCUCAAGAAAGAGUAUGGCUCUGCACAGAGCACAAAGCCAGGUCUGAAAAAGAAAGUUCCUGCCAAGAGAACUCCAAUGCCAAAGGCCAGGAAGUCCACUCAAGUGCCAGCUCAGGCUCAACCCAAAGAGGCACCUGCAAGGAAAGAAGCACCAUCAAAACCUCAGAAAGUCCCCAUUGGUGCAACCAUGAAGUUCACAGUUGAAUCAGAGGAUGAUGGUGAUCAGGACAAGAAAAAGAAGAGAGCAAGAACCACAACUGCCAAGGUCCUUGGAAAGCCCUCAAUGAGAAGGGAUUCUGAUGAAGAGGAAGAGGAUGCUGCACCAGCACCUAAGGCAACUAAGCUUAUGGGAGAUGCAAUCAGGUCAGGGGCUGCAACAUCCAAGCCCAAAGAUGCACCCAAAGCUGCCUCCAAGGCCAAGCAAGCUCCAAAGAGGAAUACUAGGAGUAUUCCAGCUGCUGAGAAGAACAAGGCCCCAGUGCCCAAUGUUGCUGAAGAAGAGGAUGAGGAAGGACAAGUCCUUAGAAAGCUCAAGCCCAAGAUACCAGACCACAAUGAUGCCCAUCCUGUGGCUGGGGACAUGAGAAUCAGGAAGGAUUCAGGGCUGAGACUGUGGAGGAUGGAAGACCCAUAUGCUUCAAGAAGAAAAACUGUUGUUAACUACAGGUUCCACUCAAAGGAACAACAGGACUUUUAUGAGACCAUUCUGUUGGACAAGAAGCCCAUAGUCUAUGAUAUGAGGUGGGUUGACUGGAAAUUCAUCAGGGAGAAUGAGCAGCACUACCCUGGAGUGGAGGAGAGCUUUGUUGCUUGUGGAGUAGCAGAUUUUGUUGGACAAAAGUUUACCAACUGGAAUGAUGAGCUUAUCAUGCAGUUCUACUCCACAGCACACUUUUAUCCAGAUGGUAGUGUUGUGUGGAUGUCUGAAGGUACAAGGUACCAAUCCACUGUUGAAGAAUGGGCAAAUCUCAUAAAUGCCCCCAAGGAAGAAGAGGAUGACUUGGACAUUUAUGCAAAGAAGAAGUUGGGUCACAAUUCAAUGGCUCACAUGUACAAGGAAAUCCCUGACAAGGCAGUUGAGACUCACAAGUUUGGAUCAGUUCACUUUCUGCUGUCAGGUCUGGCAACCAUCAAUUGGAUCCUGAGGCACACUUUGUUGCCCAAGUCAGGUGACCAUAACAUGAUCAGAGGGUAUGCCAUCAACAUGCUACAUGUGUUUGAUGUGCCCCAGAAGUACAAAGUCAUGAGCCUCAUAGUUGAAACAAUCAAGAGGACUGCAGCAGAUUAG
This 1497-nucleotide ribosomal RNA is filed under the name Triticum aestivum (bread wheat). Its description in RNAcentral is "partial small subunit ribosomal RNA". Lineage: Eukaryota; Viridiplantae; Streptophyta; Magnoliopsida; Poales; Poaceae. The record is from RNAcentral.